UUGGAAUCUAGUGUUCGCGGGCAGGAAGC
This 29-nucleotide non-coding RNA is filed under the name Homo sapiens (human). The record is from RNAcentral. Lineage: Eukaryota; Metazoa; Chordata; Mammalia; Primates; Hominidae.